This 594-nucleotide ribosomal RNA is filed under the name Trischistoma sp. NK-2011a. RNAcentral's name for it is "SSU rRNA". It matches the Rfam family "Eukaryotic small subunit ribosomal RNA", at positions 1024 to 1643 of the family's 1831-position model. The record is from RNAcentral. Lineage: Eukaryota; Metazoa; Nematoda; Enoplea; Enoplida; Trischistomatidae.
UUCUAACCGUAAACGAUGCCAACCAGCGAUCCGUGGGAGUUAAACCUAUGACUCCACGGGCAGCUUCCGGGAAACCAAAGUCUUUGGGUUCCGGGGGAAGUAUGGUUGCAAAGCUGAAACUUAAAGGAAUUGACGGAAGGGCACCACCAGGAGUGGAGCCUGCGGCUUAAUUUGACUCAACGCGGGGAAACUCACCCGGCCCGGACACCGUAAGGAUUGACAGAUUGAGAGCUCUUUCUUGAUUCGGUGGGUGGUGGUGCAUGGCCGUUCUUAGUUGGUGGAGCGAUUUGUCUGGUUAAUUCCGAUAACGAACGAGACUCUAGCCUAUUAAAUAGUCGACGGAUCAUUAGUCCGUUGUACUUCUUAGAGGGACAGAAGGCUUCUAGCCUUACGAGAUUGAGCAAUAACAGGUCUGUGAUGCCCUUAGAUGUCCGGGGCUGCACGCGCGCUACACUGAAGGAAUCAACGUGUCUGCUUCCUGCUUCGAAAGGAGUGGGUAACCCGUUGAAACUCCUUCGUGAUUGGGAUAGGGGCUUGUAAUUAUUCCCCUUGAACGAGGAAUUCCUAGUAAGCGCGGGUCAACAUCUCGUGUUG